RNAcentral lists this ribosomal RNA (408 nucleotides) under Fusobacteriota bacterium. Its description in RNAcentral is "Fusobacteria bacterium partial 16S ribosomal RNA". It matches the Rfam family "Bacterial small subunit ribosomal RNA", at positions 355 to 776 of the family's 1533-position model. Lineage: Bacteria; Fusobacteriati; Fusobacteriota. The record is from RNAcentral.
UGGGGAAUAUUGCACAAUGGACGGAAGUCUGAUGCAGCAACGCCGCGUGCGGGAUGACGGCCUUCGGGUUGUAAACCGCUUUUUCUCAUGACGAAGUUUUUUGACGGUAGUGGGGGAAGAAGCACCGGCUAACUACGUGCCAGCAGCCGCGGUGAUACGUAGGGUGCGAGCGUUGUCCGGAAUUAUUGGGCGUAAAGAGCUUGUAGGCGGUUUGUCGCGUCGAUAGUGCAAACUCAGUGCUUAACGCUGAGCCUGCUGUUGAUACGGGGAGACUAGAGGAAGGUAGGGGAGAAUGGAAUUCCCGGUGGAGCGGUGGAAUGCGCAGAUAUCGGGAGGAACACCGGUGGCGAAGGCGGUUCUCUGGGCCUUUCCUGACGCUGAGAAGCGAAAGCGUGGGGAGCGAACAGG